UACGAAGGGGGCUAGCGUUGCUCGGAAUCACUGGGCGUAAAGGGUGCGUAGGCGGGUUUUUAAGUCAGGGGUGAAAUCCUGGAGCUCAACUCCAGAACUGCCUUUGAUACUGAAGAUCUUGAGUCCGGGAGAGGUGAGUGGAACUCCGAGUGUAGAGGUGAAAUUCGUAGAUAUUCGGAGGAACACCAGUGGCGAAGGCGGCUCACUGGUCCGGUACUGACGCUGAGGUGCGAAAGCGUGGGGAGCAAACAGG
This 253-nucleotide ribosomal RNA is filed under the name uncultured bacterium. Its description in RNAcentral is "partial 16S ribosomal RNA". It matches the Rfam family "Bacterial small subunit ribosomal RNA", at positions 524 to 776 of the family's 1533-position model. The record is from RNAcentral.